GGAGGUAGGCCCUCCGGUGGCGGCUUCUGGAAGCGGCCAUCAAACCACCGUAAGCUGCGCCGGUAAAGAGCCGGUGUGGUGAGCGUUACGGAAAAGGCGUAGCUUGACUGCGUCAGGU
Molecule: non-coding RNA, 118 nt
Filed under: Endozoicomonas montiporae CL-33
Lineage: Bacteria; Pseudomonadati; Pseudomonadota; Gammaproteobacteria; Oceanospirillales; Endozoicomonadaceae
Source: RNAcentral